GAUGAACGCUAGCUACAGGCUUAACACACGCAAGUCGAGGGGCAGCAUGGUCUUAGCUUGCUAAGGCCGAUGGCGACCGGCGCACGGGUGAGUAACGCGUAUCCAACCUGCCUUACACUCUUGGACAGCCUCCUGAAAGGGAGAUUAAUACAAGAUGUUAUCAUGAGUAAGCAUUUUCACAUGAUUAAAGGUAUUCCGGUAGACGAUGGGGAUGCGUUCCAUUAGAUAGUAGGCGGGGUAACGGCCCACCUAGUCUUCGAUGGAUAGGGGUUCUGAGAGGAAGGUCCCCCACAUUGGAACUGAGACACGGUCCAA
This 315-nucleotide ribosomal RNA is filed under the name uncultured bacterium. RNAcentral describes it as "bacterial SSU rRNA". It matches the Rfam family "Bacterial small subunit ribosomal RNA", at positions 28 to 334 of the family's 1533-position model. The record is from RNAcentral.